UUCGGCUUCCCGGGUUAAAGAGAUUCUCUUGCCUCAGCUUCCCGAGUAGCUGGGAUUACAGGCGCGUGCCACUACACCCGGCUAGUUUUUGUAUUUUUAGUAAACAGGGUUUCGGCAUCUUGGCCAGGCUGGUCUUGAACUCCUGACCUCGUGAUCCACCCGUCUCGGCCUCCCAAAGUGCUGGGAUUAUAGGCGUGAGCCACGACGCCCGGCCUGUAGCUUCUGUUAUUAACAACAAGCAAACGCCCCUGCCCGUACACGUUCCUGAGGGAUAACGGUAUGUUACAAAAGUGCAUCUGAGCUACCACUCCUGGAGGCUCUGUCGGAGUGCCCGCGGGCAUGGGCGCGGUGGAAAAGAGGGAGAACCUGUAGGCCCAGGCCUCCGUAACCAUGGCUGCCAGGGGGCGGGGACUGCGAGCGCAGAUCCCGGGCGGGGUGCCGGCUGGGAGAACUCGGUCCUCCACUGACCCAGCCGGCCACGCGUCCGCGUGUCGCCUCCCCGUCCCGCUAGCAGCACGCUGCGUGGCUGCUGGUUGGCUACUUAGGACGGAAGUUCGGUUGGUGUUUCUGCAGAGGUUUCCCCCUCGAGCGGUGGCAGAGUUUCUGAGUGCGGUAGUAGCAGCUCUGGCGGCAGCAACAGUGACUACGAGGGAUGGCGGCGGCUGCAGCAGGACCUGCAGCAUCUCAGAGAUUUUUCCAGAGCUUCUCAGAUGCUGUAAUCGACCAGGACCCCCAGGCGGCGUUAGAGGAUAUGUGAAUACCAUUAAAAAACUCUGCUGCUGCUCUAGAAACUUUUAUAGAAGGACAAAAAUUAGAUAAGAUGAAAAAUGUGUUUAUGGAUACAUUUACACUGUUAUCUGUUUUAUUCACUGCUGACUCCCCAGUGCCAAGAACAGUGCCUGGGAUGCAUUUUUUUCUUUCUAGGUGCAGAUUUUAAUGUCAGUGACUGAAUUAAAAGGUGUUGAGAAGCUCAGAAUGGGAGACCCUGGCUCGAGACCUGCAAAAGUUUCCCACCAGAGACCUAGGCUGUGUGUUGCUCCAGUAUGUCGAUGACCUCCUGCUGGGACACCCCACAGCAGCUGGGUGCGCCAAAGGAACAGACGCCCUGCUCUGGCACCUGGAGGACUGUGAGUAUAAGGUGUCCAAGAAGAAAGCUCACAUCUGCAGACAGCAGGUACGCCACCUAGGAUUUACUAUCCAACAGGGGGAGCAUAGCCUAGGAUCAGAAAGAAAGCAGGUCAUUUGCAACCUACCAGAGCCUAAGACCAGAAGGCAGGUGAGAGAAUUCUUAGGAGCUGUGGGGUUCUGCAGGUUAUGGAUCCCAAAUUUUGCAGUACUGGCCAAACCUCUGUACCAAGUUACAAAGGGGGGUGACACAGAACCUUUUGAAUGGGGGUCCCAACAGCAACAGGCUUUUCAUGAGUUAAAAGAAAAACUUGUGUCAACCCCAGCCCUGGGUCUGCCUGACCUGACAAAGCCAUUUAUACUAUAUGUGUCAGAGAGAGAAAAAAAUGGCAGUUAGGGUUUUGACCAAGACUGUGGGGCCCUGGCCAAGGCCAGUGGCCCACCUCUCUAAACUUAAACUAGACAGGGUUUCUAAAGAUUGACCCCCGGGUUUGAGGGCCUUAGCAGCAACUGCCCUGCUAGCACAAGAAGCAGAUAAACUAACUCUUGGGCAAAACCUGAACAUGAAGGCCCCCCAUGCUGUGGUGACUUUAAUGAAUACCAAAGGACAUCAUUGGCUAAUGAAUGCUAGACUAACAAAGUACCAAAGCUUGCUCUGUGAAAAUCUCUGCAUAAACAUUGAAGUUUGUAACACCCUGAACCCCGCCACCUUGCUCCCGGUAUCAGAGAGCCCUGUCGAGCAUAACUGUGUAGAGGUGUUAGACUCAGUUUACUCUAGCAGACUUGACCUCCGGGGCCAACCUUGGGCAUCAAUGGACUGGGAGCCGUACAUGGAUGGGAGCAGCUUCGUCAAACCACAGGGAGAAAGGUGUGUGGGAUAGGGAGAAAGGUGUGUGGGAUAGGCAGUGGUAACCCUGGACGCUGUCAUUCAGGCCAACUCAUUGCCUCAAGGUACCUCAGCCCAGAAAGCCGAGCUCAUUGCUUUCAUUCAGGCUUUAGAACUCAGUGAAGGUAAGGCUGUAAACAUUUACACUGACUUCCGGUAUGCCUUUUUAAUCCUCCAAGUGCAUGGAGCAUUAUAUAAAGAAAAGGGCCUGUUGAACUCUGGGGGAAAGGUCAUAAAAUAUCAGCAAGAAAUCUUGCAAUUAUUAGAAGCAGUAUGGAAACCUCAAAAGGUUGCAGUCAUGCACUGCAGAGGACACCAGGGAGCUUGCACUUCAGUUGCCUUGGGAAACUCCCGAGGUGACUCAGAGGCUCAAAAAGCAGCAUCUGCCCCAUACUGGGCAUCAGUCACAGUCCCCCUCAAGCACCUGACCUUGUACCUACUUAUUCUAAAGAAGAAAAGGACUUUCUACAGGCAGAGGGAGGACAGGUGAUAGAAGAAGGAUGGAUCUGGUUACCAGAUAGGAAAGUAGCUGUGCUACAGCUGCUGGGAGCAGCAGUUGUACUGGCUGUGCAUGAAGCCACCUGUCUAGGUCAGGAGUCACUUGAAAAGUUGUUAGGCCAGUACUUCUACAUCUCCCAUUUGUCAGCCCUUGCCAAAAUAGUGGCGCAGUGGUGUGUAACCUGCCGACAGUUCAAUGCGAGGCAGGGUCCAGCCAUUCUGCCCAGCAUACAAGUUUAUGGAGCAGCUCCCUUUGAAAAUCUCCAGGUGGACUUCACAGAAAUGCCCAAGUGUGGAGGUAACAAGUAUUUACUAGUUCUCGUGUGUAUCUACUCUGGGUGAGUGGAGGCUUAUCCAACACGAACUGAGAAAGCUUGUGAAGCAACCUGUAUGCUUCUUCGAGAUCUUAUUCCUAGAUUUGGACUGCUCUUAGGAAUUGGCUCAGAUAAUGGGCAGGCGUUUGUGGCUGACUUGGUACAGAAGACAGCAAAGGUAUUAGGGAUCACAUGGAAACUGCAUGUUGCUUCCUGACCUCAAAGUUCUGGAAAGGUGGAGCAAAUGAACCGGACUAUCAAGAAUAGCUUAGGGAAAGUGUGUCAGGAAACAGGAUUAAAAUAGAUACAGGCUCUCCCGAUGGUAUUGUUUGAAAUAAGCUGUACCCCUUCUAAAAGAAUAGGAUAUUCCCCUUAUAAAAUAUUGUAUCAUAGACCCCCUCCCAUACUACAGGAACUCCCAGACACUCCACAAGAGCUAGGUGAAAUUGAGUUACAAUGACAGCUACAGGCCUGAGGAGAAAUUGCUCAAACAAUUUCAUCCUGGGUAAAUGAGAGGUGCCGCAUCAGCUUAUUCUCCCCAGUUCACCCUUUCUCCCCAGGGGAUCAAGUGUGGAUCAAGGAUUGGAAUGUAGUCCCCUUGCAACCACGGUGGAAAGACCCCAGACCGUCAUCUUGAUCACCCCCACAGCUGUAAAGAUAGAAGGAAUCCCAGCCUGGAUCCACCACAGCCACGUGAAACCUGCAGCCUCUGAGACCUGGGAGGUGAGACCAAGCCCAAACAAUCCCUGCAAAGUGACUCUGAGAAGGACGACAAGCCCUGCUCCUGUCACACCCAGAAGCUGACUCGUCUACGCACAGCCAAAGCAUGAGGAAACUUAUCAUGGGACUUAUUCUCUUUAAAAUUUGGUCUUAUAUAAUAAGGACUUCCACUGAUUUUCCCCGCAUGGAGGACUAUUCCCAGUAUAUUCAUCAGGUCACUGGGAUAGGGCAACAAGUAAAAGUCUUUCUGUUUUAUAGUUAUUAUUGUUGCGGGACAAUCAAAGAUGGGAGAGACCGAACAGAGUGAGUUCAGGAAAGGUCUUUAUUAAAAGGUGAUCACCUGGCUCAGUAGGACUAAUGUCCAGGAAAGUCUGAGCCCCGGACAAAGAAAGCAGCCACCUUUUAAGCAGUCAGUGGCUGGGAGCUACAUGAUGCAGGAAGCGUAUGUACAGAAGCAAGAACAAAGGCAGUUGAUCAGUCUUUUACAUUUAUCUAUACUAUAUGUUCCACAUCCUUGGGAAACCAUGUUUCUGUAUAAACCUUGUAACUUUGCAGCUGCACUAGGGAGGUGAAGGAGGAACUUGCUGAGCCUCAAGGACUGUGAAACUAGCAAGUACAGAUAAGGCUCAAAUGUAUUACAUGAAUCAUUAUCAGUCUGUCUUGCAGGAAGACCUAGGUAGUGAAGAUGAAAGUGAGAACUCCCACUAAUAAGUGAGAUUCUCAAAGGGAGGAAUGAGGAAGGAGACCACCUCUUAUUUUCUCAUACCUCAGAAAAAGAAAGGAAAUAAAAGUUAAAGAAAGGCAAAAAUGAGAUCAAUAGUCAGGCAGCCUAGCCCUGUACACCAGACCUGGUCUGGUAGUUAAAUAUCAACCCCUGACCUAACUGCUUGUAUUAUCUAUAGAUUCUAGACAUUGUAUGAGGAAGCAUUGUGAAACUUUCUGUUCUGUUUUGUCUUAAUUACCGAUGCAUGCAGCCCCAGCCUGUACCCCAUGCUUGCUCAAUUGAUCACAACCAUUUCAGGUAGACCGCCUUAGAAUUGUAAGCCCUUAAAAGGGGCAGGAAUUUCUCUCUUGGGGAGCUUGGUUUUUGAGAGGCAAGUCUGCCGACGCUCCUGGCCAAAUAAAUCUACUUCCUUCCUCAACCUGGUGUCUGAGGGGUUUUGUCCAUGGCUCAUCCUGCUACAGAUACAACUCUAUGUUCCUUCCACCAUUAUCCCAUACCCUUAAUAUCCAUUCCCAUGCCUGUUCUCCAGAUUGCUGUUUAUAUAAAUUAGAGAACUCAAGCAGUUCAAGUGUAGCACACCUCCUCAUGGGUCUUACUCUCAACCUCAUCCUUAGGGGCCCACCAGGACUUUAGUUAUAGAUUUAGAUGCAAACAGAGGUGUUGAGGGUGGCCUCUGAGGAGACUCAACGUUCUCUUGCCUGACAACUGGCUUAGGGGAGGCCAUCACUGUUGCUGCAGGCAGCAUAGGGUUUUUCUCCUCAGACAAAGGUGGAAAGGCUGAUAGCAGCAUAGGUCAGGGAGGCUUUUUUGCCACUACUGGGGAUGGGGAAGCUGUUCCUUCUGGCAAAAAAUGGUUUAUCAGAGUUUAUAAACUCAGUGUCCCCAGCUUCAUCAGGGUCCUCCCACAUGUCCCAAUUCCAAGUUGCCGGGUCCCAUUCUUUUCCAAUCAAUGCCCUCACUUUAACAGUAGACACCUGGUGAGGCAGUGCAUGCAUCUUUCAUUGCUGGUUAGCCACUCGUGUAAGAGCUUGGGUCUGUUUUUCCACAAUUUCAGCUCUUUCUCUACAGGAGAUAAGACUCUCAUUCGGGGCAGUCUUAGCAGA
Molecule: RNA transcript, 5370 nt
Organism: Rhinopithecus roxellana (golden snub-nosed monkey)
Lineage: Eukaryota; Metazoa; Chordata; Mammalia; Primates; Cercopithecidae
Exons: 7
Source: RefSeq, a predicted model, not a curated record